CCUACGGGAGGCAGCAGUAGGGAAUAUUGCACAAUGGGGGAAACCCUGAUGCAGCAACGCCGCGUGAGUGAUGACGGCCUUCGGGUUGUAAAGCUCUUUCUUCAGGGACGAUAAUGACGGUACCUUAGGAGUAAGCCACGGCUAACUACGUGCCAGCAGCCGCGGUAAUACGUAGGGGGCGAGCGUUUUCCGGAUUUACUGGGCGUAAAGGGAGCGUAGGCGGACUUGUAAGUGUGAUGUGAAAUACUCGGGCUUAACUCGUGUGCUGCAUUUCAAACUGGAAUGCUAGAGUGCAGGAGAGGAGAAUGGAAUUCCUAGUGUAGCGGUGAAAUGCGUAGAGAUUAGGAAGAACACCAGUGGCGAAGGCGAUUCACUGGACUGUAACUGACGCUGAGGCUCGAAAGCGUGGGGAGUAAACAGGAUUAGAUACCCCAGUAGUC
Molecule: ribosomal RNA, 440 nt
Filed under: uncultured bacterium
Lineage: Bacteria
Description: partial 16S ribosomal RNA
Rfam family: Bacterial small subunit ribosomal RNA
Source: RNAcentral